RNAcentral lists this long non-coding RNA (240 nucleotides) under Brassica napus (rape). Its description in RNAcentral is "long non-coding RNA (BNAP_LNC021425)". Lineage: Eukaryota; Viridiplantae; Streptophyta; Magnoliopsida; Brassicales; Brassicaceae. The record is from RNAcentral.
GUUAGGGAGGGGAGGAAAUAGCUAGUGCUGUUGGGGUAGUAGGCUAUGAACUGAGAGUUAACAAGUUGCCUAUCAAGCUUCUUUGCAAUUGGCAUCUCAGGCUGGUGAUUUGACCAUGUAUACUGAGGUCCUUGAAAACGAAGGUCGUGCACACCAAUUUGACGUAUGCAAUCAAUGAACUCAGUCAUCUGCGGAGUGACAGUGUUUACCUCACGAAGAGAGUGUUCAGAGUGAUGAGUU